CGCGGCCUAUCAGCUUGUUGGUGGGGUAAUGGCCUACCAAGGCGUCGACGGGUAGCUGGUCUGAGAGGAUGAUCAGCCACACUGGGACUGAGACACGGCCCAGACUCCUACGGGAGGCAGCAGUGGGGAAUCUUGCGCAAUGGGCGAAAGCCUGACGCAGCAACGCCGCGUGCGGGAAGAAGGCCUUCGGGUUGUAAACCGCUUUCAGCAGGAACGAAAAUGACGGUACCUGCAGAAGAAGGUGCGGCCAACUACGUGCCAGCAGCCGCGGUGACACGUAGGCACCAAGCGUUGUCCGGAUUUAUUGGGCGUAAAGAGCUCGUAGGCGGUUCAGUAAGUCGGGUGUGAAAACUCUGGGUUUAACCCAGAGCCGCCACCCGAUACUGCUGUGACUAGAGUCCGGUAGGGGAGUGGGGAAUCCCUAGUGUAGCGGUGAAAUGCGCAGAUAUUAGGAGGAACACCGGUGGCGAAGGCGCCACUCUGGGCCGGAACUGACGCUGAGGAGCGAAAGCGUGGGUAGCAAACAGGAUUAGAUACCCUGGUAGUCCACGCCGUAAACGUUGGGCACUAGGUGUGGGCCUCAACCAACGAGGUCCGUGCCGUCGCUAACGCAUUAAGUGCCCCGCCUGGGGAGUACGG
This 639-nucleotide ribosomal RNA is filed under the name uncultured bacterium. RNAcentral's name for it is "bacterial SSU rRNA". It matches the Rfam family "Bacterial small subunit ribosomal RNA", at positions 232 to 885 of the family's 1533-position model. The record is from RNAcentral.